Long non-coding RNA from Piliocolobus tephrosceles (Ugandan red Colobus), 1760 nucleotides. The record is from Ensembl. Lineage: Eukaryota; Metazoa; Chordata; Mammalia; Primates; Cercopithecidae.
UGAUAAUGUAGAUACGAAUGGUUUGUUACUUAAGGAUAAAAAUUCCAAAUGUAGUAAUAUCACUAACAAUGCAAAAUAUAGUAAUAAAUUUGCAUUUAUGUUAUCCUCUACACCUGAUCUGGAAAAAGAAAUAAAAAAUGUUCAAAAAGCGAUAUGUUAUAAUACAUAUGAAGAUAUUCAAAUUACAAAGAGAUUUAACGAGGAGGAAGAGAAUGAAAAAAGAAAAAAAUACGAGGAAGAAAGAGAUAGAAAAAAAAAAAACGAAGAAAAUAAUCUACGAAAUAGGCCAGAUAAUGUAAUAACAGAAGAAGCUUUACAAAAUUUUUCACCAGUAUCUAAUGAAGAAGUAAAAAUCAAAAUUUCACCUCCACCAGAAAUGAAAACACAAGAUGCUGGGAAACCAGAUAAAACAAAAGUAAAUCAAGAUGUUGUUGGUGUAGUGAAAGAAGAAGAAAAAAAUAAAACAGAUGAACAAAAAGUUGGAAUUAUACGUAAAAUUUUCAAAACUAAACAAAAUGAUAAAACUAAUGAAAAUGAAAAAAAAAUAGAUAAUAAUAAAAGUAACUCAUCUGAAAGUGAGGAUAAAUACAGUAAUAAACCUGAAUAUGGAUCUAAUCGAUCCUUACCAUCAAUUGGUAAGAAUAAUGUUCUAUUAAAAUCUAUUAACUAUUUAAACGAAUUCAAUGACGAUGGAAAAGCUGAUUACUUAAAUUAUCAAAGUCAAAAUAGCAAUAAUGAAAAUUCACAUCUUCGUAUGAAGUGUAAGUCGGAGAUAUGUUUAAACACAUGUUGUGAAAGCAAAUGUUCUUGUUGUUCUAAUCCUAAUAAAGAAAAAUCUUCAUUGUUAUAUAAACUAUGGUAUUUAAUUUCAUUAAAAAAAAAAAAAAAAUAUAAUUUAGCAGAUAGUAGUUUUUAUAAAAAAAAUCCAAACCAUUUAGAAGAUCUAAUUAAUAAAGCUAUAAAUUUAAAUGAACGUGUAGAUAAAAAUAAGUAUACAAAUGAUACUGAUAAAGAAAUGGAACAUAUAGUAGACGAAUUAUUAGAAAAAUAUAUAGAAAAUGGUAAUAAAAAUUUAAGUGAUAUAGGUGGACAUAUAAAUGGUAGUAAAUUAUCUGUUGGAGAUUCUGAAUAUGAUAUAAGUAAUAUACUAAAAAAAAAAUCAUGGGAGGAUUUAACUUCUGAUGAUUUAAUUAAUAACCCUAAGAAUAGUCGACCACCUAUACAUGGAAGUACGCGUUCUUUAGAAAAAAACGUGAGUUUUAAUUUUAAAAAUGAUAACAAAAAGAAUAAUCAUCAUAAAGAUAAUGAUACUACUUUACAACAAACAAAAGAAGGAAAGAAAACGGAUGAGCUAAAAACAAAUAAGAUAAGAAAAGAUAACCCAGAUUUUUAUAAAAAUCCAUACAGAUUUAUUAUAGAAAUGCUAGAAAACUUAAAAAAAGAAUCUUUAGAAUUAUAUGAUAAUGAAGAAGUUAAAAAAAAAAAAUAUGAUGAUGAUAAGGAUAAAGAUAUCAAUAAUGAUAAAACGGCAAGUGAUAAAGCAGAAAAUGAUAAAACGGCAAGUGAUAAAAUAGUAAGUGAUAAAGCAGAAAGUGAUAAAGCAGAAAAUGAUAAAACACCAAGUGAUAAAGCAGAAAGUGAUAAAGCAGAAAAUGAUAAAACGGCAAGUGAUAAAACGACAAGUGAUAAAGGAGCAAGUGAUAAAACACCAAGUGAUAAAAUAGUAAGUGAUAAAGCAGAAAAUGAUAAAACACCAAGUG